RNAcentral lists this transfer RNA (66 nucleotides) under bovine gut metagenome. It matches the Rfam family "tRNA", at positions 5 to 66 of the family's 71-position model. From Rfam's summary of the family: Transfer RNA (tRNA) molecules are approximately 80 nucleotides in length. Their secondary structure includes four short double-helical elements and three loops (D, anti-codon, and T loops). The record is from RNAcentral.
GGUGUAGCGCAGUUGGUAGCGCGCUUGGUUCGGGACCAAGAGGUCAUGGGUUCAAAUCCCGUCACU